UGGGUUUAUUAGGAAGAUUUAAGGAGCUAACCCUGGAAAAUGCUGGUACGUCAUAUGUUGGGUGCAUAGUAAGGGCUCAAAACUGUUUGCUACUGAGCAAAGUGUUUGUCACUGAGUGCCAACUUUGUGCCAAGCACUUCACAUAAAGUCAUUCAUUUAAUCAGACACAACCAUGAUUGUCUCUACACAUCGGUCCUGUCCAGGGUCAUGACCUCACGACCUCACUGAUCUGGGAUUUGAAUCCAGGUCAGGAUGAUUCCGUGGUUGGGACUCCAUGGUUGAGUGGGUGGUUGGGUGGGCGGCAGAGGAAGGCACGCCAGCCCGCGGAGCCCCAGUGACUCAGAGCCGUGGCUCCCCUGGCCCGCCCUUUCCUCUGACUCAGCCCCAGUGAUUCCACAGGCACACUGGAAUUCAGGGCCCCAGGCAGAGUUCCUCCAUGGAGAUGCUGGUGGGUGGCUUGAGCUCCCAUGGCCACCCUUGGCUGUGUCCUGUGGCCCCCUGGGAGCUCCUCUCAGGUGCAGGGGGCUUGCCAGGGUGAGCAUCUCCCUCCAACCACCUUGUGGUGCAGAGGGGCAAACUGAGGCACAGAGAGGGGCAGGGACGGGGCUGAAUGGCACAGUCUCAGCGAUGGGAGCCAGGCUGGGUGACAGAGCCAGACCUUGUCUAAGAAAAACCUCCCAAACCAAACAAACAUCAUUAAGGCUGCAGAGUGGAGAACAUACCAUAGCCCAUAGCACUGUGGGUGGGAGUUUGUGGGGGCAUGUGUGGCUUGGACCAGUGGGGCUACAGGCAGUAGGACGCAGACUGGUUUGAAACAUGGAGGCAUGCCUUUU
This 833-nucleotide long non-coding RNA is filed under the name Homo sapiens (human). RNAcentral describes it as "non-protein coding lnc-CARD10-1:1". Lineage: Eukaryota; Metazoa; Chordata; Mammalia; Primates; Hominidae. The record is from RNAcentral.